This 70-nucleotide transfer RNA is filed under the name Gemmataceae bacterium. RNAcentral's name for it is "tRNA-Trp". It matches the Rfam family "tRNA". From Rfam's summary of the family: Transfer RNA (tRNA) molecules are approximately 80 nucleotides in length. The record is from RNAcentral. RNAcentral also lists the same sequence under 1 other name. Lineage: Bacteria; Pseudomonadati; Planctomycetota; Planctomycetia; Gemmatales; Gemmataceae.
AGGGGGAUGCUCCUGGGAGAGCCGGCGGCCUCCAAAACCGCUCCACAGGGUUCGAAUCCUUGUCCCCCUG